Long non-coding RNA from Gallus gallus (chicken), 8803 nucleotides. The record is from Ensembl. Lineage: Eukaryota; Metazoa; Chordata; Aves; Galliformes; Phasianidae.
GUAUGAUAUUUCAUACUGCAAUCUGUAACAGAAAGAUGCUUAAAAUUACACUGAAGUAGAUCUUGCUGUGGGCUGCAUUCCACGGAGAAGUCCCAACACCAUGGAGACAACUAACAGAACUGUAGUUUCAAUGGAGUCAGAAUUUUAUACUGCCCUUUUUAAGGCAGGUUUUUCAGGAGUGCUCAGCACUGUCUUAACUCUUCCACCAAAUCUGCUAAAAGCCUUUUCAUAGGCCUUGCUAGGAGCAAAACUGAGCCAAGAUAGUCCAGACUUUGCUUAAAAUAAACACAAGUCUUGCCGUCCAUCAUAAGUAUAAUUAUUCUAAUGACUGAGCUCUUCAGGUUCCACAGAAUUUCCUUACAGAGCAGUGUUGUUUGUCCAUUAUUGGCCUAAUCCUGCACUCCUUACUCAAAGUUAAGGUUGAGUGUUAAACAACCUGCAUAUAAACUGUCAAAAUAGCUGUUGCAUAAAUAACCUUUUCUAUGCACAGCCACUGUUUUCACUAUGUCUCUCUAUAACCUCUGCCCUCUCUGGGAGUUUGGGAGGGCACCCACUGCUCUCUAGGGCAGUCUGUGCCCCUUCCAGCUCUGUCAGUAGUGGGCUGAGGAGGUGUUCCUGCACCUUUCUCAUGCUGGUAAUCACCUUCAUCCAUUUGAAUUCAAAGGUCCUGAAAGCAGGUGAAAGAGAAAAUAAUGAAUGGAGAAGAAGCUGAAAGAUGGAGGUUUCUCUGCGAGGCUUGUCCUUAAGGUGCUGCCACGUUAAAACAAAAAACAAGACAGUGUUUUAUCCUGGUGUUGUUUGUGCCUGUCUGCAGUCAUUGCAGCCACAUUCUCUGUGAGAGCCUCUUCUGACUGAGACAGAUGUAACAGAGGUCAAGUUAGGCUGGUGUGUGUAUAUGCACACACCCGAGUGGAGAGAGUCAUGUUACUCUUUCAGUUACUGAAAUUGUAUUUUUGGCAGCAACUGUACUACUGUUCCAGCAGAGUCUAGCUUUGUCACCCUUUUUCUGGGUUUUCCUUUUGAAAGAGGUUCCAAAGGAAGCUCUGUGCUUUUACUCUUGGUUAGGUCCUAGUCAGGUCUGUGGCUAUACUAAUGCAAACAGCACUUUUUUGUUCUGAUCACGUACGUGUGAUUCUCUUGGAUUCUAAUUUGAGAAAAGCUGAUAGUAAUGCUUAUCUUCUACAAGGUUUGUUGGAACUACUGCAGGUUGAAAUUGCUGUCAGUGGGAGAGUUGGGACUAAUGAAUAAAUUCUCAAUUUGUUCAAGAUGUCUGAACAAGACUACAUAAUUUAUUACUUUAUUGCUUAAGGUAUAAGAUAGAACUGGCAUGCUUUUUUUAUUUGGGGUCCUGCUUGCACCUCCUGCAGUUCAGCUUGACGUUCUGUUGCAGUUGAUUCAGCAUCUUGACAAGCUCAUUAUUGUUACUGUUGGCAUGAUGCCCUCAGAUUUCCACUUUGUUUGGGUCUGUUUCCAUCUUCUUGAGCUUGGAAGUUCCAGCAUGCCCUGUUGAUUCAGUUUCCAGACUCACCUGUGGAGACUCAAUUGCAUGCUGGUGAUUUUCCUGCAGAGUGCAGUGAAGCAUAUGGCACAGCAUUCUGUUAUGUUGAAUCUAAUCCAGCCUUUGUAUCAAAUUAUUGUCCACGAAGUAAUAAAAACAGUCAAUUUCUAAGCCUGUUUAAAACUGAGGUACUAAGAUUCUGCACCAAACUAGAAUACCUUCUUUUAAAACAUAGGGCUAGGAGAGCUUUCAAGAAGUCAUCUUAAAAAUCUAUCUAAAAUUGGGGUUAUCUGUCAAACCAGUUCCUGGAUGUGUGACCAGACUGUACCUAACUUCCAGUAAUGGAGACUCCAUGAUCUCCAGACCAUCUUGUCCCAGGAGUAAUUCCCCCUACAACUAGAAAACUUACCUAGUCUCUAACUUAAACCUUGCUGCAGCUUUGGUGUAUAACUUAAUGUCAUAUUGCUACACCUGAUUAUUUCAGAUUCUUCCUUCUGAUCUCUAUCAAUUUCAGCUUUAACCUGAAACAGUUCAAACUGAAUGCAGAUCUGUAAGGAGAGGUGCAGCAGAAGAACGAACAAAGGUGCUCUGUGGGAUUAUACGUACAGAAUCGAUUCAGUGGAAUGUGGGCAAGCAGGCAUCAGGCCUGCAUGCAGCUCUCACAUCUGUGGCACUGGUACUUCUAGGGAAGACUGCUUCCUCCAGUGCCACCUGCAGUUCAUCCUAAUCAGUCUUCAAUCUUCUUAUCUUCUGCAGCUCGUGAAUGCUGUGCCCUCCUUUCCUCAGCUGAUUGAUUAGAUCCUUAAUUUCCUCCAGGGAAGAGAACAGAUAUUUCAUGUGAUAGGUUUAUUUCAGGACUAUGAACUUUACCAAGUGCGCCAGACAGAUUCUUUGAAUAGAAAUGGCAUGAAAUGGCUCCAGUCACUUCACAUUAGCUGCCCUUUUUCUCAUUGCUAACUAUUAUCUUGGAUUUCUGAAUGAGCCCUGCUAGCUCUAUGUAAUCAUGGAGGCAGAAGAGUGAAGCCCAUUAAAUCACGAGAAAUUUUUUCCAGUUUUUAGCCUAGUCUUCCCCUCUCCCAUUUUCAGAUGGCUGCUCAUACAAAAUGCAAAUAGGAUUCCACGUUGUCUCUAUGCAACAGAAUGAGGCACUUUGCCAGGUGAUGUAGGCCAGAGUAAUAGGUUGGGAGAGACAGCCCAGGAAGCGCUGGAUCUCUGCCAGGGACUCCAUCACCAUUUUCUCUUGGCUGCAAAGGCAAGCAGAUUCUAAAUCUGCAUCUUCUAAAUAUUGACAGUGUCAUCUUUCAGCCUCCUGGAGGAGAUCAAUUUUUACAAUUUACAGAAUAUUUUCAUUUAUUAAAAAGAAAAAAAGCCAAGGCAGCUUGUCUCCCUGUAUAGCAAGUAAGGGAGGCUCUGGGAGUUCAAGUGACAUCCUUGGAACUGAUUCCUGGAGAUGCCUCAUUCAGUCAUGCAUAUUGCUUCUGGGAAGUGUUCACUUCCACCUGCAGCUCUUCAUAUUUUCUUGUUGCCAUUCUGCCAGCAUCUUCUCAAAGGCUCUCUCCUUCUUCCAGAGCAGCACAAGCAGCAUUGGCCUGGAAAGAUAAAGCCAAGCAUUCAAUGGACACAAGUUUUCUUUACACUUCACUUCUCUGUGUGUCCUGCCAGCUAGUCACAGUUAAAUUGGCACCCACUGUAAUGACUGGCAGAGUUUCUCUUGGUUGCUCUGAAUGGGUGAUUAAAAUGUUUACAAGGCUUUCUUUCCUCACCAUUAGGAAUUUAACAAGAUCCCCCAGUUCCCAUCAGUGUGAUAGUCUUCCUUGCUCCUGCCGUUAUAAUGAUGCUGCUGUGGAGCAAAUGUUUUCCACUUCAGAUAUUCGUUGUGCAGAUGUGCUGUUAGUAAUUGCCUGGGUUGAUUAGUGUGACUUUCUGCUUCAAAGAAGAUUCAGUUAGAAACAAGAUGUUAUUUAAGACUAUUCUAGACUGUGUUUAAUGGCUUGUCAUGAAGGGAAAGAAUGAAGGAACGUUUUUUCUUUCCUGGGAGCUUUUAAUCACAAAUAUUCGACGUAUUUUUAUGAUCAGUACAUGCAGUCAGAUACCAUGGUGAUAAGCACGCCACAAACUGAAGAGUACAGAACUGCUUCAUUAGAGGCAGUGAUGGUGAAACAACCCACUGGUACUGCAACACUGAAGAGUUCAAAGCAGGAUCUCAUUAUCCUUAAAAAGAAGAUGAAUACCUUGCCUUGUAUUUGAGGGGGGCUUUUACUUCAGCUGCUAUUAUUUCUGGAAGACAGCUAACAAGUUUAUGAGCAGCAUGCUGUGUGCUCCUAAGAAUUAGCUGUGGCUCAUCUUUGCCUUUCUUCUCUUGGUCAUACACAUUACAGUGACAUUUGAUAGAGAGAUCUUAAAGUAUUAAGAAAUAAGGGAUCAGCGCAAAGCUGAUUCCCAGGGGAGGGGUUCCACCAUCAGGUCUUGCUGGUCAGGCUUGUGUUAGAUGUAUUCUUGAAUGGCUGAAUUUCUUGCCUUUUCCAGGUAAGGAGUGGGGUUCUUCAUUUUUUUUGUCUGAAGCCUCUGCUUAGUGCUGCCUGGGCAGACUUGGACUGAUUCAGCUGUCUGCUUUGCUUCUUGGACCCUCACAGCCAACUUUGUCCCAAAGGAGUGGGGGCAGAAAUAACUCAGUAGUUCAUGGAGUGAGGAGUUCUGGGGGUCAGCAGCUGUCAUCUCCUUGAGCACUACUGCUAUUUUCACCAGUAAUCCUGAAAGCAAUCUCAGAAAAGUGACUGUAAAACCACGACUAGGAUGUGGCUGGAUCUUCCUCUCCCCAGGUACAAACAUCAUAGUGGACUGCAGCUCAGUUCCUCAUUGCUGGGUUGUCCUUCUGUUUAGGUAUCCCCAGGACAGUAAUAAUGUCAAAGAGCAAGGUAGCUUCACUCCCUGUGACAAUCUAUGGGACUAAGGCAGAGAUAGAAUAGCUUAUUUUGUCUCGGCUUGUCUCAGGCACGUGGUUAAAACCCUCCAGGUGCCUUAGCUUUUCUGUUCUGUGAAAGCAUCUUUGUUAGCUCUGCUAGAGAGAGACUGUUAAAAGAUGGCCUUAACUUCUUGCCUCCGUUACCAGAUCUCAAGGAGCACAUUCCAGGGGCUUCAAUCUGAUUUGGGUGCAUUCUUUUUUCUCAGGAAAUGCUAGUGGCUUUUGUAGGGCUGCUGGAAGAGCAGAGGUCCUGUUGGAGUAAGGGAAAGCUGCCCAACUUCAAGCCUUUACUGGAAAGGUACAGCAUUGUUCUUCUGUUGCCAGCAUACAAGGGUUAGAUCUCAGUAGUCCCUAUUUAUUAUUGCAGAUGUUCUUUUCUUCUUGGCGGCAGUGCUCUCCUUCCUUUGUCUUAUAAAAAUGAGUCCUAACAGGUCACAUCUAUAAGCUGUGACUCAGCAGCCAAACUAAAUAACAAGCUACUCUAAGUCCUGCCCCAUUCUCCCUGAAAGCUGUGUGCUCACCUUGUUUCUUCCAGCUUUCUGGUUCUUCCAGGGCUCUUAGUGUCAUGCUUUUAGACUUUGAUUUCAGUACUGAGUUCAGAGACCAGAUGCUGAACUUCUAUUUUGCACUCUUCCUCCUCUUCCAACUGCUCUUUCAUCGCCUCCAGAUAAUUCCUGGUAUUAGCCAGGCUUACCACAGCAGCAGUGCAGGACUUGAGAUAGAUGAAUAGUAAUGGCUGCAAUGUUCUCCUGUUGGAAGUAUGAAGGCACUGACCUCACUCCCCCAGGCUGCAGUGCUCCACUUGAGCAACUUAGUUCUGGACUAGCUAGAAACAUUUCAAAGUAUCUUCCUGGUCAGGAGCCAAGUGUUUGCUCUCCUUACCUGUUUUGUUGUUGGUUUUUUUUUUGCUUUACUGCAGUGAAUUGAAUUGAGCUCAUAUAACUGAAAGCAGAACUUGGCUUGUCAUCAUUGCUGUUUUCUCUGAAACUGUUUCAAAAGAAUUACAACAGUAAACCCAUUUUGUGAUUGCUCUGAAUGCAGAGAAUUCUUGCCAGGCUUUUGAUAUGCAGGUGCAGUACUAGAAUUAUUCUUUGGAGAUAAGAAAAAUUUCCAGGACAGACAUGUCAGACGGAGACAUGGAAUGCUGAUACAUUUUGAGCCAGACAUAUGUGACCUAUGCAAAUGAACUGCAGUGCAAUCCACUGAACAGACAGCGGACUGAGAAUGAAGAGGUAUGUGUUCUGCUCUUUGCUUCUGGCUCACAGGAGAUCAUCUUAUGUUCAUAUCCCCCAUAUGAAUCGUGAUGCUCACGCCCUGUGCACCCUUACUGAGAUUAGCUGGUAACAAGCCCAGAGAUCUGUGUGAGGAGAACUUUCCCUUGUGAGAGCUGAAACAAUAAAAGGCUUGUUAUUCUGAAGUGGACAGCGAGCAAAGAGCAGGCAGAGCAUAUCCAACUCUAGCUGCAAGCUGUGAAGGUGGUUGGUGGUCCCCAGUACUCUUAACUUUUCAUCCUCUUGGGGUCAUACAUCUGAGAGAGCUGCAUGUGGACAACCUAAUUAAUCGACAUCAGACCUUGUGCUCUGUGCUUGGCUGGCUGUGUUGAGCUGCAGGAGAAAAAGCACACAGAGAGGCAGGAGGGGAACUCUUUCCACCUGAUUGAAGAAAGAAAAGAGAAGGCUAGAAGGAUUGGGCAGUUUGGGUAAAGGAGGCAGAGUGGCCAGAGUUCUGUGGAACACAGGGGAGGAGGAGGUUCAGGGGGGUGGUAGUGUUGCACACAGCUACCAGGGAAUUUACCUUGGAGCCUGAUGGCAUUACUUUCAGCUUGGCUUUUCUCCACCUCAGCCAGCUGGGCAUUGGCUUCAGACAGCUUAUCUUUCAGCUUGUGAGCAUGAGCAUCUGAGUCCAACGGUAAGAAUGGUUAGUCAUAUGAUGCUGAGUAAGGCUUGAAGAGCUACAGUAUCCUCCCUCCCCUGCAAGCUCAGUUGAUUUCUGUUGGUUGUAAUUAUAAUGAGAUGACUGUAGUAGGCAGGGAGAGUGCAAAUUGGUCUGAUCUUUAGAGAGGGGAGAUGCCUGUUUUGUUAGCCAUGCUGGGCAGUGUUUGGCAUCAGCCUGCAAAUGGCUGCUUUGUGGUAUCAGCUGGCUCACAUCUGUCUUGUGCUGUGGAUCUUGGAGGUGCUUUAUAAGAAAGGCUUCUGCAAGGCUUUUAUUUAGCCUUCAUAGGCUCUUUAUCUGAGUCAUAUCCAUCUUUGGUGCCACUCUGUUACAGGGUUGGUAUCUUUCAGAACAGUUAACCAUCUUCAUGCCUCAUUGCUAAAGCUCACAGUUGUUCUCUGGACUGCAGAUCAUGUAUUUCCCUUGCAAAGCAGCAGAAAAUAGGCUGAACAGUCUUGCUUUAUCUUUUUACUGUGUAUGACUGAAUGGGCUGCUUUCUAACAAACCUCUGAUCAACUUCUGCUCAACCCCAGAGGAAUGGCAAAGCUCAGCCAAUUUCAUGGAGCCUCGUGGGUUUUGUGUUUUUUGUUGUUUGUUUGGGAAGGUUGGAUCAGGUCUGCCCUGCUUAGGAGCCUAGAGAAGCUGCUGAAGAAACUUCUUUGGAGAGUCCCAGUGAUAUCUCAUUCUCUGAAGAAAAAAACAAGGUGUUCAGAUGUAGCUGAAGGUAUCUGACCUGGGUGCAGCUGUUGUAACACCAGUGUCUUUCCAGGGAGUAGAGAUCCAUAAGAUCACAAGGCAGAUCCCUUCCUUGGUUCUCCACCUAGUGGGAAAGAGGGAAAGAAGUUCUUAUUCCCUGUGAGGAGCCUGUGAGUGCAUUCUUGGCUUCCAUCUCUUCUUCCAGCCCUUCAGUAUAAGGGCCUGGAGAGUGCACCACAAACACAGCAGUGUCUGUGACUGAGAGAUGCAAGAUAAACUUGUGUGGAUACAAACGAGUCUUUAUUUCUUUACUCCCUCCUCUGUGUGCUUGCCAGGUCUACAGGAUUAUUUUUUCCUGGGAAAGGUCUACAGCUGGGAAUACUUAGCCAAGGAAACAGGAAAGGUGUGGCCGUGUGUCUUAGUAGACAACUGGUAUUAUGUGCAGCAUCAGUGGCUUGCUCUGCUGUGUUGGAAUCUGGCCAUUGGCGAUGUAAUGGAGCUGAUUUGGUUACUUGAGGGAAAUAGGUGCUUGUUCACAGGAACAGCUGCAGGCCCAGGUUUGUGGGUUGCUUUUUUGUUGUAGAAAUGCGGGGUUUUGAUUAGGUAUUUUGAUUAAGUAUUUGGGCAUUGAAAUAUGCCAGCUGAAAAACAUUUGAAUUCAGAAUGGCAGUACUUUGUGAGCUGUGUUCCCAUUUUUGGUUUUAUUUACCACCUUUCCUUGCGUGGUGAGUGGAACAGUACCUUGCAAGAGCUGCUAUAGGGGGGAAAAAAAGGUCAAGUUCUACGUAGGGAAAGACAAAUCCCAUAUCUCAGCUGAUUCUAUUGCUUAAGAGUGUAAAGAGAGAUUGGCCCCAGAAUCCAUUUUAACAGGGUAGGCUUAAAAGGUCUGUGUUGUUCUUCUAUGCAACUCGAUCUUAUCAAAAAAAAGAUAAAGCUGCACGAGCAGGCUGCUAUGGGUUAAGAAAAGGUAGGAUGUUAUCUCACAUGAGCUAAGCCAAAUAAGUGUUACCUCUCUGUAGCUAACAGGUUAAUCUUUGUUCAGAGUGAAGCAGAAUUUAACGUCCUGUCUCUGGCCUUAAAGUCCAUUUGCCCUUUGUCAAAGCUCUUUGUUGCCCCAUCGUCAACUUGUCUGUAAGUAGAGGUGUGAGCACCCCAAGGAGCUGCAUGGUCUGUGGUGUGAAGCACAAAUAUCAGCACUCUGUAGUUUUUUUUCUAUCUAUAUUUGAGACUUCCAGUGGCUCUGCUCUGAAGCACAGUUGCCCUGCAGCUAACUGAAAAACUUGGCUUCAAUGUGAGAAGUAACUGAAGCACACAUUGGCAGUGGGUGGCAGAAGGGCCCAAGGUUUCAAAAGCGAACUGCGUGGGACCGCUGAAGAAACAGUCCAUUGAAAACCCACCUCAUGUAAGUUUUAGGCAAAGGUGGUCUCCAGCCCUUUCAAGCAGAAUUUCAAGUUGCUGAGCUCAUCCUCCAGCACCACUUGGUACUACUCAGGGUAGCACUUCCAUUGCCAGGAUCCAGCUCAGUAGAACAGUCCAUCUUUGCUCUCAUCAUUUGGCCCAAGCACACCUCAGCACCCAGCAAGUUCCCUCAUUCCUAUUGAAGAGAUGGGAAUCCAGUGUUCAUCCUGAGUACCCUGCUACACCUUCUGCUUCCGUUUCCAUUUGCAAGAAGUGUUUGCUGCUUCUGUGGAAUUUAUUAAAGAUUUCUUUAAUAA